This 433-nucleotide ribosomal RNA is filed under the name uncultured bacterium. RNAcentral's name for it is "partial 16S ribosomal RNA". It matches the Rfam family "Bacterial small subunit ribosomal RNA", at positions 29 to 507 of the family's 1533-position model. The record is from RNAcentral.
AACGAACGCUGGCGGCAUGCCUAACACAUGCAAGUCGAACGAGACCUUCGGGUCUAGUGGCGCAAGGGUGCGUAACGCGGGGGAACCUGCCCGUAGGUUCGGAAUAACUCCCCGAAAGGGGUGCUAAUACCGGAUAAUGUCUUCGGACCAAAGAUUUAUCGCCUUUGGAUGGGCCCGCGUUGGAUUAGCUAGUUGGUAGGGUAAAAGCCUACCAAGGGGACGAUCCAUAGCUGGUCUGAGAGGAUGAUCAGCCACACUGGGACUGAGCAACGGCCCAGACUCCUGCGGGAGGAAGAGGUGGGGAAUAUAGGAAAAGGGGGGAAUGAGUGACACAGCAGUGUCGCGUGAGAGAUGAAGGCCUUAGAGUUGUAAAGCUCUUUUACACGGGAUGAUAAUGACAGUACCGGGAGAAUAAGCCCCGGCUAACUCCGUG